Molecule: transfer RNA, 72 nt
Filed under: Pleodorina starrii
Lineage: Eukaryota; Viridiplantae; Chlorophyta; Chlorophyceae; Chlamydomonadales; Volvocaceae
Description: tRNA-Cys
Rfam family: tRNA
About the family: Transfer RNA (tRNA) molecules are approximately 80 nucleotides in length.
Source: RNAcentral
GGGUCUCUAGCUCAGUGGCAGAGCAGCUGACUGCAGAUCAGCAGAUCUCCGGUUCAGUCCCGGAGGGACCAU